ACCUUGCUGAUAAGUGCUAAAUAGCACGAAACUCGGGUCCAGGGU
This 45-nucleotide non-coding RNA is filed under the name Schistosoma haematobium. The record is from RNAcentral. Lineage: Eukaryota; Metazoa; Platyhelminthes; Trematoda; Strigeidida; Schistosomatidae.